RNAcentral lists this ribosomal RNA (399 nucleotides) under uncultured Rikenellaceae bacterium. Its description in RNAcentral is "bacterial SSU rRNA". It matches the Rfam family "Bacterial small subunit ribosomal RNA", at positions 981 to 1382 of the family's 1533-position model. Lineage: Bacteria; Pseudomonadati; Bacteroidota; Bacteroidia; Bacteroidales; Rikenellaceae. The record is from RNAcentral.
UCAAAUGUAUGUUGACGUAUUCUGAAAGGGAUACUCUUCGGACAAUAUACAAGGUGCUGCAUGGUUGUCGUCAGCUCGUGCCGUGAGGUGUCGGGUUAAGUCCCAUAACGAGCGCAACCCCUAUCAUUAGUUGCCAUCAGGUCAAGCUGGGGACUCUAAUGAAACUGCCUACGCAAGUAGUGAGGAAGGUGGGGAUGACGUCAAGUCAUCAUGGCCCUUAUGUCCAGGGCGACACACGUGCUACAAUGGCCGGCACAGCGGGAAGCGAGGCAGUGAUGCCAAGCGGAUCCCUUAAAGCCGGUCUCAGUUCGGAUUGAAGUCUGCAACUCGACUUCAUGAAGCUGGAAUCGCUAGUAAUCGCAGAUCAGCCAAGCUGCGGUGAAUACGUUCCCGGGCCUU